Molecule: long non-coding RNA, 2303 nt
Organism: Vigna angularis (adzuki bean)
Lineage: Eukaryota; Viridiplantae; Streptophyta; Magnoliopsida; Fabales; Fabaceae
Exons: 4
Source: RefSeq, a predicted model, not a curated record
UAUGUUUGGUUAUAUUUAAUUUCCAGUUUUAAUUUAGUUUAUCUCGAAUCACAAAAACACUUUCAAAACCCCCCACUACGUGUUUGUCCUAAGACCCGAACUAUAUUUGGUCCUUGAGAGACGACCUAGGAGUCACUUCCUAGUUUAAACUGCAUUAAUUUUGAAAACAACUUUUGUGGGAGGUGCGACCCUCUCAUCACGGACGUCUAUAGACGUCUGGCAAUGCACAAACCGACGUCCAACCCAAUCCCUAGCACAAAACCAUUCAGACAUAUGGCCGUCGGGAGGAUACACCUCGGACGUCUGUGUAGACGUUGGGGGGAGGAGACAUCGGUCGUCUAUGUGGACGUCCGAGGGGUGCACAUUGGACGUCUAUGUGGAUGUUCGAGGGGUACACAUCGGACGUUUACGUAGACGUUGGGGCUGACACAUCGGACGUCUACAUAGACGUCCGUUGUGGACCCCCCGACAUUCGAGUAACGUCACCCACAAAGACGUCGGGGGUAGGUCGGACGUCAAAAAGCCAAAAGAACGGACGUCUAAAGCCCUUUCUGCACUAGUGGUGGUGGCGGUCUUGCGGAUGCGGCGUGAAGAAGAUAAAUUGGUCGUGCGUGACAGUAAUGGCGAUGAGGAUUGUUACGACAAGGUGGAGACGGUAGAACGACGACUAAGGUUUCUGUGGAGAAGAUUAUGCUCAUGUAUUAGGGAUGAGGUGGCGUGUUCUGAUUGGUUCACUAGUGAGUGAAAGUAUUAGUGAUGUGACAUCAUCUGGGUGGAGUCUGACUAGUUAGUGGUAGGAGGGGUAUGGGUAGGAAAAUUUAGGGGUGUAGGAGAAAAGGCUUAGUGUUUGGGCUUGGUUAAAAAAAAAGGGUUGUAUGUAGGGAAAUUUAGGAGGUGCAAGGAUAAAAUUUAUCUGUUUGGCCCAUUUGUAUAUUAUUUUCCAAACAAAAUCUGAUUUUGGGUCUUAAUUUGCAAUUUGGACCAAUAAACUUGUAACUUCAACUACACAAAUAAAUGUAAAAAUUUCCAAGAAUAAUUCAUGCAAUUAAAAUCACUUUUAAGCCCCUUUUAUUCCAAAAUCCAAUAAUUCCAAUUGUCAUAGAUCCACUUUAAAUCAACCAUUUAAGCACAAAUAUUUCAUCAAAAAUUUGAAUUUUUAAUCAUAAAUGCGGGUAUGAAUAUGCACUCAUUACCAUAAAAAUUUGAUGUGCAAUAAAAUGCAAUAUAGUACUAGGCAGUGACUCCUAGGUUCCAAUGGUUUUAACUCUCACUAGUAGAAUAUGGGGAUAAGAAGUCGGGCAUUACGUUUCGGUUCCCCGAAAACCAAAGUAUAUGCAAACGCGAUGGCAUAUUUGCAAUUUCAGCCAACUUAUACGCAUCGGUUCGCCAAGAACCGAAGCAUAAAGGACUAGUUACCUCGGUUAAAGUAAAAAACCGAUGCCUAUGGUUUUGCAAUUUCCCACCUCCAACUGAAAUUUUGCUGUCAGCAUUCUGAAAUUGGGUUUAGGCAUCGGUUAUUUUCAGCAGCCGAAGCAGAAUGCUCUACACCUUUCACCUGCCACCCUGUCACUCAGCCUGUUUCGCCUGUAAUUUUCCACGUGGACCUGGUGAUGCUUUUAGGCAUCAAUUUUGCUGAGACCUGAGGUGUAUACUGUGGGUUUAGGCAUCGGUUUAUUAGAACACUCGAGGCAGUAGCAUGAGGGGAAGGAGAUAUAUUUUCUCCCUUAUAUACAUGGGUAAGUGAAAUUUGUUAACUUUAAAGUUUCAUUUAUUAAUUUUGGUAUAUGACAAUGAAGUUAUUACCAAUUUCAGAUGUCAUUGGCAACUACUUGUGAUCUCCAUACCGGAGAACACUGUUGUCUGGUUUUGUUCAUUGCACAAGUCUCCUCCCAGCCCUCUUAGACAUGUAGUAGAUUGUUCCCUUGCAACACAUAUGAUGUUAUCUGGGAGAUCUACUGCUAAAGCUAAAAAGCUUGCAUGGGUUGCCCUUAAGUGUAAUAGACAAAUGGGGUCAUAUGAAUGUGGUUACUACGUCAUGUUUUGGAUGAUGAACAUUAUUCGUGCACAUUACACCAGUGGAUGGGAAACGAGAUUUAAUAGGACUGCUCCAAUUUCAGAGAAGUCAGUUCAACUUGUGAGGAAAACACUGGCUAAAUAUGUAAUUCAUUUAUAUAAUAGUAUGUAGUAGAUAUUAGGAUAUAGUAAGUUCUAAGUUUAUGUUUUUUAAGUUGUUUUGAGCUUUUCUACAUUAUUAUUAGUUUAACUUUAUACAUUGCAUUGAUUUAUGCUUCAAACUUGAUUUA